Long non-coding RNA from Numida meleagris (helmeted guineafowl), 3688 nucleotides. RefSeq lists it as uncharacterized. The record is from RefSeq and is a predicted model, not a curated record. The transcript is spliced from 4 exons. Lineage: Eukaryota; Metazoa; Chordata; Aves; Galliformes; Numididae.
ACUGGGAAAAAAACAUCUGGAUAAUUUUCAGCUCUCACAGCUGCUUGCAAAGCCGUGGACAUGACAGCAACAGUAUUAUAUCCUAGCACCUGGAUCAGAUGGGCCUCUAUUACCUUAGAACUGAAAGGCAUCAAAGCCCAAUUCAGAGCAGACCUAUUUGAAGGAAGACCUGCAGAACAACCUGAGAGCAAUAUAAGGCGCUCAGACGUUUUUUCUUUUCACUUCUUCUCUGAGUACUUUUACAUCAUGCCUACUUAUCACAACAGCCUACAGAAAAAGAAUAUGCUCUGCCAGCAUGCUUCACUGCUACAAGCGCACUGGAUUGUAACAUACGGUCCAAAUCAGCUGGUACCAGAAAAAAAGGGGCGCAGAGAAAAAGGCACAGAAAAUACCCACUGUGUUGUUGGGAAAAUCACUGCAAAUGAUUGUCUUGAGACUUGGAGGGGAAAAAAAGCCCACUACCACAACUAGCAGAAAUAAAAUUAUCUCCACAGAUGAGCUUCAAACCCAUGGGAUCAUCAAGGCACAGGAUGGGGGAAAGUGCGUAGGGGCAGGGGAACAGCGUGAAGUCCUCUGCUCAAUGAAGAGCAGUCAGAUGUAAUAAAUAUCAGCAGCAGCUGCGCAUGGGCAAAGCAUCCUGCCAAGGUAAAACAGGGGUUAAAGUGUGUUCUUAAUGCAGCAUGUUCUUAAUUUCUGCAAGAGCAUUGCAGACUGUGCUGUUCCACUGCUGAUAUACCUGGGCAUACAGCAGUGCUGAUUUUUCCAUUGGUGCAAAAUGAGAUCUGGUGCAACACCGAGAUACUGAUCUCCCUCAAACAGAGAAAUUCACCUUGGCUUUCUUUCCCCACUGCAGACUGGAUUUUUCAGUAGAUCCAAUUUACUAAAGUGCAUGGCAUGUAGCACACUUCCUCUGAGUUGCCAAGUUUUCUGACAAACUUUCUUGCCAACACAUAUGUGAAAGACUAAAGACUCGGCUGAAGAGAUGGGACUCAGUAUCUGAGCAAACUACUCAUUGAACUUCUGUGCAAACUAAAAGAGCCAGAAGCCAGGCUGAGGUGUAGAAUAGGCUCAGUGGGUUCUGCCACUGUCUGGAAAGGAAGAUGCUGUAUUUGCCCAUAAGGUGAUAGAAAUCUCCUCCUUGGUGUGUAAUUCUACAAGGUGGAAGGGAGGCAGAAGCCUGUUCCUCUAAUUCAUGGCAGGAAACAGCUUUCCACAUGCAUGUCCAGUUCAACAGCUAAUAACUGAAACACCGCAUAGAACAUCAGAAGUCAAAUAACCUCAAGCUGUCUCAGAGAGAAGAAAACAGCAAAGAAAAGAGAUGCGUAUUAAUUCUAGAUUGCUAUGCUAUAGGGAGAACCCAUGUUUCUUUCAUAUUCACCUUUUCUGACUGUACAUCACGAAAGGACUCUGUCUUUCAGAACAGAGUACUGAAGAGAAAACAACUCUUGAUAUUGCUUCCUUCUGAGGCCUGAAGGGAACUAUAACCCAGAGUAUCACAGACAAAAAGGAAGGAGUUAAACGGGCAUAAGCAAAGUGAGGGGUAAGGAGUGGGGAGAACCUUUCGUCCUUUAUUUACAAGGAAGAAGCACAACUUAAAUGCCCCUGCAUGGUGACAUUGACAUAGACACCAUCAAUGGAGAUACAGAGAUAUCGACGCAAAGGCAGCCCAGAGGUGUGCUACCUCUUUUUAAAUAGUUCCUUAGGAGACAGCAGAUGUGUAACAGAGGACUUGGCUCAGCUGCCUACAGUAGGAACAUUAAAUGGCUUUGCGACACAGUAAAACACACACAGAGCUAAAAGUAAGUUGGAAGACAGGAACAAAAUUUUGGGUCAGUAAAUAAGAGGGCCCCUGUGCCUGGCAGGAAGAAGGAAGCAUUAAGCUCAGCCAGGAGCUUGGAAACACCAUCAGCGAGCCCAUGCUAGAAGCAGGCUGUUUUGCAGGUGACAUUCUCUCAGUUGUGAACCUACCUGCCGAUUCUGCAAACACAUUAAUAAAAGCAGACCAAGACAAUUUAAUAAGCUCACUCCUGCUGCCAAUUCCUUUUCCUUCUUUAAAAGAAAUAACCCGUCCCUCUGGUUCCAGUCUGCUAGCCAUCUGGCAUACAGCCCAAGAGGGGCUCGGCUCUCUAGCCCUGAAAGGCAAGAGGUGAAAUCCAGUCCUCGCUUAAUACCAACAGUGUAAAGCCAAUUUAAAAGUCUUUAAAAAUCUAUCUUUGAUCGAAGGGAAGAUGUUGUUUAAUUGAAAAGUCUCCUUUCCUGGAGCAGCUGGAUUUUCCUCAAGCUGCAGCCACUUCAAAAGGAUUCCCAGUAAUGUCAGAGCUUCUUAGGUUUAAACUGUCAGCAUCGGAAGGGCUGCUACAGGCUUUCGUCUCCUGCAGGUUCCUAAAGACUUCUGGUGUAUAAAGAUCCAUUUUAAAUAAUAUAAUGCUUCAAAAAUACAGCAACAAGGGGAAAUGCUAAGAAAAAGAUUCCUUCCAAACAGAAAGUUGUAAUAGAAAGUUACGCUGAGGACUGAUUUCUUUACAGUAUGUUUUUAAUAAUAAUACUUUUAUUUCUUGUUCCUUAAUUUGCACAACAUGUAAACGGUAAUGAGGUAUCCAUUGCUGUACGCAUAUAGAAAUGUGUUCUGGAAUUUCUGCUUUCCUUCAGAUGCAUGGCAUUUAAAUGCAGAUGGAAAAUGCACUUAGGCAGGCAUUAUUAUUCAAUAAAGUGUGCCCUGUCAUGUCUCAUCAUGCUUGACUAAAACUUUGUAGCUCUGGCACAGCUGGCAUAAAAAUAGAGAUGUGCCGGUAUCUGGAUGGAGACAUAACAUCUUCUUCCAUGGAGAGAAGACAGCAGCUUCACCAACCUGAUGUCCUAUUCAAACCCCACAGGGCUUUGUCAAAAUUUCAGAGCCACCCUCUGCACCUUAACUCUAGUGACCCAAAUGAGUGAAGAUUUGCCAUUUCUGUAAACGUGGCAAUAGGCAAAUGGCUUUAAAAAUAAUUCCUCCCAUCAGACAAUGGCGAGGUCUGUUCAGAACUGAAGUAGAUGAACAGAGACUCACCUAUGUUCUCAAAGCCCUGGGCUACACAGGCUAGGACAAGAGGUUUGAGACCAUUUCUCUGUUGGACUGGGAAGAGCUGUGAUCCAUAGUGUGCAAAAUAUCAGGCAGGAUCAAUCUCCUUGUUGUCUCAGCAAUCUGUUGGAAUGACACAGACCACAUUCGGCCAACCUGAAUUCUACUGCACCUCCAUGCCUUGCCUUUCCUGCACGUUGGUUCCACGAGCCUUUCUGUUCAGCAAGUCACAUAAACUUUGCAGCUGUCCUUCCCUGGACCUGUAUCUUUAGAGGAGAACCUCAUCCUCAUGCUUCUUUGUGCUUAAAUUCCUCACUUUCACAGGGAGAGCCAUGGGACUUCAAAGGGUGCAUGUGAGGGCAAACAGGGCUGCUCAGAGACUGUGGGAAUGGAAGUCGUAAAGCGUGACACUGCUAAACACGUGACAGGGAAAUCUCCUAAAGCACAUGCACUUAUUUAAUAACAACUGAUCUUUGGGUUCCCUGUGUAUGAGUACAUGUAAGGUAUUUGCUAUCAGAUCACACAGUGUUAGUCACAGUUAGACCAGCACCUAGAGUGGCUUCUUUUCUAAAUGCUCAUAUUUGCUGUCUGUAAAUUUAGGAGUAAGGGAAAAGGGGUUUGAUUAGACAA